AUGCCACCCAAACGCCGUCGCUACAAGGAUUAUUUAGUUCAGGGUUCUGAUUCGAAAAUUCCACGUUCAACCCUGCAGCGAAUCAAAGCUCGGAGUAAGCAGGCAGCCGAAGCAAAUCCUGUAAGUCCAUCAUCUGCUUUAUAUGCCGCAUGUUCAUCUACGGAUCAUUCAUCUACAUCUUUGGCAUCACAAGAUGAAUGUCCAACAAAUGCUAUUCCCGACCCACCUUCUGGCCAUGAGUAUUCUGACAUUCCACCAUUAAACAAUGAGCCGGCUGAAGAACCAAGUGACGAUGAACCAAGUGACAAUGAUUCUAGUGAUGAAGAUUCCGCUGAUGAUGUACCCAGUGAUGAUGAGCCACCAGACGAUGAACCUCCGGGCAACGACCCAGCACCCAUCGAGCCUCCAAAUCUGCCGAAUCCUCCCCCUCCUCCGCCUCAUAUUGAUGAAUAUAACUUGGAUGCACCUGCGUUUCCUGGGAGCUUCAUUUCGAAGUUUGAAGUUCUGCUUUUAAUUAUCCAUUUUAUCAUCCGGUUUUCUUUAAGUGACGUUGCCCUUAGAGCCCUCAUUGAGUUAGUGAACACUAUUAUUGGUGCAAGCAUCAUACCCCCUAGUAGCUACAUUUUUAAGAAAAUUUUCAAAUCUACCACUCGAAAAUCUCUUACUUUCUAUUGUUCCAAGUGUUUUUUCCUGCUUGGGAAAAAAGAAGAUUGUGAACUGCAAUCUUGUCCAGAAUGUGGAGAGCCUGUUGGAUCUAAAUCUUCUAAUAACAAUGGAAAGUAUUUUGUCAAUUUAUCUCUAGAGGAUCAAAUUAGAGAUUUGCUUGAAGGCCCUGAUGGAGAGAAACUGUUAGCAUACCGAUUAAACAGAGAUAUCAACGAAUCGUACAUCUCGGAUGUUUUUGACGGGAUCAUCUUCCAAGAUCUUCUUCAGAAACUACCGCCAGAUCAGUCGUUUUUGACGUUGACUUUGAACACAGAUGGAGUUGCUGUGUUUAAAAGUUCUAAGAACUCGAUGUGGCCCAUUCAGUUACUUAUCAAUGAGUUUCCACCGUCUGAAAGAUUUGCUGCCUUUAACCUUCUCUUGUCAGCAGUGUGGUUUGGCUAUCCAGAAAUCUCAAUGACAACAUAUUUGAGCAAUUUUGUUGAUGAAGCGAACAAGUUGGCCACUGAUGGAGUACGUUGGUUCCGACAAACAACUGGCACCUAUGAAGUGACAAAAGCCUUUGUUUGUUUUGCUGCUUUCGAUGUGCCUGCCAAAGCAAAACUUUUGAAUAUAAAGGCCCACAAUGGCCGGAAUAGCUGUUACAUGUGUACUCAUCCAGGCGAUGAUAUCGAUAAUGGCAACCAUAUCAGGUAUGGAUUCAGAGAAAUAUAUGUUCGGCGCUCGUCAGCUUCCAUCAAGCAGGAUAUGGCAGAGGCUCACAACACUGGUGAAAGCAAGAAUGGCUUCCUAGGUAUUUCACCUUUGUCUCUUUUACCACAUUUUAACCUCCCUUUUGCUGUUGUCAUCGACUAUAUGCAUAGUCACCUGUUGGGCGUAUCCAAAUAUUUACUCAUCAAUAUUUGGUGUAGAAGUGCAUUCCACAACUGCGAUUUUUAUCUCAACCCCGCAAAGCAGCACGAGGUGAAUAAUAGAUUGAUGGCUUUACAUCCUCCAUGCGACAUCUCAAGAGACCGUAGAUCCUUAUUCCAGUGCCACCAAUGGAAAGCCAAUGAAUGGAGAGCGUGGCUCUUUUACUACGGGCCUAUCUGCCUGAAAGACAUCUUGCCUCCAAGGUAUUUUAAGCAUUUCUGUCUUCUGAGUGCCUCUUUAUUUUUCUUCAACCAAAGCCAAAUUGAGAGAGAAAAAAUUGCCACCUAUGCAGGUUACCUGGAGCUGUUCGUUCGCCAGUACCAAGAUUUUUAUGGACUGAUACACUGUACCCACAAUAUCCAUCUGACCGUCCACAUCAAAGAAUGUGUUGUGAGCUGCGGUCCUUUGUGGGCUGUUUCCUUAUUCCCAUAUGAAUCUGGGAAUGGUUAUCUUGUGAGGAUUAUUCAAGGUGCCAAUGGCGUGGCUCAGCAAACUGCAAAUAAGUUUUGCACCUACGCUUGUAUUCCUAAAGUUGUCGCCCUUCACCCGCCUGUAAAAGAAAUCAUUCAGGAGUACUGCGACAACAUCUUAUCCCUCCGCAGAUUUAAAUUUGCUGCUCUUUGUGAUGGAGGUAUUACAAUUGUUGGCAAUAAGUUUAGAUCCACUUUUCUUCCUGAUGAUGAUGAACUUUUGACCAUGGCGACUGUAAUUCCCAACUUUACUGAUGAUGGUACCGACUUCUUUUGUAUUAAAAAAAUAAUUUUCAAUGGAUGUGUUUAUAAAUCAUGGCCGCGAAAACCAACAUAUCGCAGGAACGAUUCAUUUGUCCUCCUCAACAACAAGAAGUUCAUGAAGAUUCAGCAAUUUUUCAUCACAUCAUUGGAUCCAGAUCAGCUGUUUUUCAUUGGUCAAGAAGUCCAAGUUGGCAACCGAGAAAGAGAAGUUUUUCAUGUGAACAAUUUUCAUUGGAAAGUUUGUGAUGCUUACCCCUUUGUUGAAGGAAUCAAAGUCAUUCCAGCCCAAGAAAUCAAACAGAAAUGUUUCUUCAUCGACUCUCACCCCACGUUACGCAUCAUCUGCUGGCUUGGAAACAAAUUUGAACGAGACUAA
This 2685-nucleotide long non-coding RNA is filed under the name Bemisia tabaci. RNAcentral describes it as "lncRNA ENSASIAIIG007251". Lineage: Eukaryota; Metazoa; Arthropoda; Insecta; Hemiptera; Aleyrodidae. The record is from RNAcentral.